Molecule: ribosomal RNA, 32 nt
Filed under: Capsicum annuum
Lineage: Eukaryota; Viridiplantae; Streptophyta; Magnoliopsida; Solanales; Solanaceae
Also listed under: 29 other names
Source: RNAcentral
GGAUGCGAUCAUACCAGCACUAACGCACCGGA